ACAACAGACCGGCGGGGUAUACGAACCUCGCUGAACAUACCCAGCCAUUCGACAGAGACGCAACUCACGAUCAGAGUUAAAUGGUACUACGAAGCUCACUUAGGAUUAGAGGGGUUUUAUAUGCGUCUGAAAAAACCCCAGUACAGAAACAAUAGGGGCUAAGCAGCUUCGCUGCUCGGACCCCUAAUAAGGGCCGUUCAGGAUGCUGCCAAGUUACGGGUGCAAUGGAGACGGUGUCUCGCAGAGCGCUCAGAGAGCAGAUGUUCUCGUGUGGUAACAUCGCCCUCUGCUGUCCACAUCCGCUCACUACACACACAGGGACGCAAGAUCAUACGGGACUUGCUUUUCACCAACUUGACAUCAGUAACACACACACACACACACACACACACACACACACACACACACACACAUGCACACAGUAAGGUGAAUUGAAUGAAGACUUUUUCGUUUUGAAGUAUGAAUCUAAAUCAGUCAAAUCAGACUCAUCCCUUUAAUUAAAAUGAGGGAGGUCAUAUAAGAUCAAACACAGAGCUGAAAUAGCCUCUCACUGUUACCAAGUGAGAACCUGCGUUGGGUUUCACUAAUUAGCUCACCUGCCGAAGCUCGCCUGCCAAGUGUUUUUCUUAAUUAGUUAAUUGGUUGCAUCUGGUGCGUUUCACUUAAAAGGGAGCCGGACAGUACGUUGGAGUUCUCCACUGGCAGUGUAGCGUCUCCCAAACGCGGUUAAAGACUUUUUGAAGUAAGGAGGAGCAUCUCAUCUGAACCUGAUGUCUAUCAUGGAUAUGUAACUGCAGUUCUGUGUCCACCUCCUCACCCAGAGCCAGACCUCCACCUCCUCACAAGUCCUCCAGAACAGCUGAAAGGCGAGGCUGGGGACCGGAGGCUUGUGGUGCCAGGGUGGACCGGUGACUGAGGCUGGAGACCAGGGGCCUGCAGCACCGGACCAGGGGACCAGGAAUCCAUGGCUGAAGGAGCUGAUGGAGGAGCCGUGCUGAAGGAGCUGACGGAGGCCCUGCCUGGUGGAGGAUGUCUGUCGUGGGGUAGAUGGAGCCUGACUCUGAAACCAGGACUCUGUCUGAGGGGAGCUGAUGGAGGAGCUGAGACGCUGGAGGACGACUAGGAAUCGACCAACAGGGAUUCCUCGACGUGUUUCUGGAGCGGAGGCGAGCUGGUAGGGGAGCCAUGAAUCUGGAGGAUGACCAUGACUCUACCAACAAGGAUUACGUUGGGGCCAGACUUGCGCUGUUUGUUCCAGACCAGGACUCUGGGUGAGGAGAGCUGAUGGAGGAGCCAAGACUCUGGAGGACGACAUCACUCUACCAACAAGGAUCCUCACAAGGAAUCUGGAGGACUGACGGAGAAGCCGUACAUCUGGAAGGCAAAUCCUGAGGACGACCAGGACUCUACCAUCAAGGAUUCCUCACACACCUGAGCUGAACCUCACCUGAUCAUGUUUGGUCGGGGGUAGAACCACCUGAGCUGAACCCGCCCUGAUCCUGACAUCCUGCUGGUCCCGUCUCCUCAGUUCAUCUGAGCCUCGUCCUCCAGAAGACCUGCUGAGCUCAGCAGUCUGAGGGUGAUGGAUCAAUGACCUCCAGUGGGAGUGAUCUUCUUGACCCCACAUACCAGGAAUCCAUGGCUGAUGGAGCUGCCCCGCUGAAGGCCCUGCCUGGUGGAGGAGCUGAUGGAGGCCCUGCCUGGUGGAGGAGCCGUGCUGAAGGCCCUGCCUGGUGGAGGUGCUGAAGGCCCUGCCUGGUGGAGGAGCUGGUGGAGGCCCUGUCUGGGGAAGGACGUCCGUCGUGGGACCAGGACUCUGUCUGAGGAGAGCUGCUGGAGGACGACUAGGAAUCGACCAACAAGGAUUCCUUAGACCAAUUACGUUUGUAACCAGACCAGGAAUCUGGAGGACUGAUGGAGAAGCCGUACAUCUAGAAGGCAGAUCCUGAGGACCACCAGGACUCUACCAUUAAGGAUUCCUCACACACCUGAACUGAACCCGCCCUGAUCCUGACAUCCUGCUGGUCCCGUCUCCUCAGUUCAUCUGAGCCUCGUCCUCCAGAAGACCUGCUGAGCUCAGCAGUCUGAGGCUGAUGGAUCAAUGACCUCCAGUGGGAGGGAUCUUCUUAACCCCACAUGUAAUCGUGUGCUUCCACACGCCUUUCCCUCACGUCUGUCACUAACCUCACUACUUCACUACUCUCUACUGCUUCCUCUUCUUCCUUCUCUGUGGUUCGAACCUUUACACGGGAGGCGCGUCUCCAUUCCCUCAGAGGGUUCAGCGUUAGGGUUGAGAGUCAGGGUUUAGAGUCAGGGACCAAGGUGGUCAGGGAGGACUGCUUUUACACAAACCUCUUCACUUGCUUUCGGAAUGGUGGUGACAUUUUGAAAAGAUUCAUUCGGGAAAAUGUUUUCAUCUGCUUCCCUUUACAAAAUUGUAUUGAACUUCUGUCAAGUGUUUUUGUUUAUAUAUUAAAA
This is a long non-coding RNA of Gadus chalcogrammus (walleye pollock), 2478 nucleotides long. RefSeq lists it as uncharacterized. The transcript has 16 exons. NCBI's taxonomy places the organism in Eukaryota, Metazoa, Chordata, Actinopteri, Gadiformes, Gadidae. The record is from RefSeq and is a predicted model, not a curated record.